CAAGCCUGAUGCAGCAACGCCGCGUGAGGGACGACGGCCUUCGGGUUGUAAACCUCUUUUAGUAGGGAAGAAGCGAAAGUGACGGUACCUGCAGAAAAAGCACCGGCUAACUACGUGCCAGCAGCCGCGGUAAUACGUAGGGUGCAAGCGUUGUCCGGAAUUAUUGGGCGUAAAGAGCUCGUAGGCGGUUUGUCGCGUCUGCUGUGAAAACCCGAGGCUCAACCUCGGGCCUGCAGUGGGUACGGGCAGACUAGAGUGCGGUAGGGGAGAAUGGAAUUCCUGGUGUAGCGGUGGAAUGCGCAGAUAUCAGGAGGAACACCGAUGGCGAAGGCAGUUCUCUGGGCCGUAACUGACGCUGAGGAGCGAAAGCGUGGGGAGCGAACAGGAUUAGAUACCCUGGUAGUCCACGCCGUAAACGUUGGGCGCUAGAUGUGGGGACCAUUCCACGGUUUCCGUGUCGCAGCUAACGCAUUAAGCGCCCCGCCUGGGGAGUACGGCCGCAAGGCUAAAACUCAAAGGAAUUGACGGGGGCCCGCACAAGCGGCGGAGCAUGCGGAUUAAUUCGAUGCAACGCGAAGAACCUUACCAAGGCUUGACAUAUACGAGAACGGGCCAGAAAUGGUCAACUCUUUGGACACUCGUAAACAGGUGGUGCAUGGUUGUCGUCAGCUCGUGUCGUGAGAUGUUGGGUUAAGUCCCGCAACGAGCGCAACCCUCGUUCUAUGUUGCCAGCACGUAAUGGUGGGAACUCAUAGGAGACUGCCGGGGUCAACUCGGAGGAAGGUGGGGAUGACGUCAAAUCAUCAUGCCCCUUAUGUCUUGGGCUUCACGCAUGCUACAAUGGCCGGUACAAAGGGCUGCAAUACCGUAAGGUGGAGCGAAUCCCAAAAAGCCGGUCUCAGUUCGGAUUGAGGUCUGCAACUCGACCUCAUGAAGUCGGAGUCGCUAGUAAUCGCAGAUCAGCAACGCUGCGGUGAAUACGUUCCCGGGCCUUGUACACACCGCCCGUCAAGUCAUGAAAGUCGGUAACACCCGAAGCCGGUGGCCUAA
This 1050-nucleotide ribosomal RNA is filed under the name Leifsonia xyli. RNAcentral describes it as "bacterial SSU rRNA". It matches the Rfam family "Bacterial small subunit ribosomal RNA", at positions 378 to 1438 of the family's 1533-position model. Lineage: Bacteria; Bacillati; Actinomycetota; Actinomycetes; Micrococcales; Microbacteriaceae. The record is from RNAcentral.